RNAcentral lists this transfer RNA (71 nucleotides) under Lactobacillus sp. RNAcentral describes it as "tRNA-Cys". It matches the Rfam family "tRNA". From Rfam's summary of the family: Transfer RNA (tRNA) molecules are approximately 80 nucleotides in length. Their secondary structure includes four short double-helical elements and three loops (D, anti-codon, and T loops). The record is from RNAcentral. Lineage: Bacteria; Bacillati; Bacillota; Bacilli; Lactobacillales; Lactobacillaceae.
AGGUUCAUAUGUCAAUGGUAGACACUCGGACUACAAAUCCGAUAAUCUGGGUUCGAUUUCUAGUGAACCUG